ACCGAAUUAGCCGGAUCCUGAUUAGCGCGAUGAUAUCAUCUUGGAUGUGACAUUUCUUCUCGGAUAAAAUAAGCGACAUACGAAGAACGGGCCUCUGAUAUCGUGUGAUAUAACGUUAAUUAUGUUUUAUUUGUUAAUCUUUGUUGCCAUCAUGGAUUAUGGCUUGUUUUCUUUAAUUUAUGGCUCGAGACUGAAGAAAACACGACAACGUCACCGGAACACAGGAAAUACCAUCUUCUUAACCAGGUUUUUGAUCUAUAUGUCCAUACAUGACCUCUCGUAUAAAGGCCAGUGCUGUGAAGAUACGUUGGGACCAGAUCCAAAGCGUUUGAGAACCAGUGGGAAGUCCUUCACAUCAUAAAUACGCCCCUGGGAAACACGACUUUGAGGAACUGAAACGUGCUUUCGAGGUAACGCGUAAUUUACACACCAAACAUUCCCAGAGGCAGAUGCCUGUCUGACUGACUGGGGCAAAUUGUGGACAUAAUGGCUGCAGGCUUGCUUCCCCCCCCCCGUUUGAAACCAGAAUUUGAACUGCAUAAAUGGGACAAAUCUGCCCGGUUCUCCUCCUGGACCCCAUCUCGGUAAGUUUGGGGGAAGUUUCUGUGAUCAAAAGCAUUGUAAAAUGGUUCCAGGGCAGGAUAUUUCCUCGGUGUGUUUCUCAAGUUUAGAUGGACAAGGAGGAAGAAAGGUUUCCCUUCCUUUUUUUUCUUCCAGCUUUUGAGGGGAGACCACAGAGUAGUUUUUUUUUUUUUUUGGGGGGGUAACGCUACAUUCCACAGCAGUCAUGAUAGUUGGGGUGGUCUUGUGUGUGUGUGUAUAUAUGUUUGCAUGUCUUUCUUGUCUCUCCUUAACAGGCCCAAUGAAAUGUUUUCAGUGAAAAGUUC
This is a long non-coding RNA of Sinocyclocheilus anshuiensis, 887 nucleotides long. The record is from Ensembl. Lineage: Eukaryota; Metazoa; Chordata; Actinopteri; Cypriniformes; Cyprinidae.